GGAUCUCCCAACCUCAGAAGUGAAUUUAAAAGAUUUGUAUACAGAUGGCUGGGGAAUCUGCGGCCCCCAGGCCCUCCCCAGGGCUAGCACAGAGCUGGCCCACAGCAGGUUCCAGGGCUGAAUAAGGAGAAAGGGCCUCCCGCAAGUUGCUGAUGUCACUGCCGCCUGCAGAUGCUCCACACAGCCCCCUCGUUCUAUCCCACAGCCUCUGUUCUAAGUCCAGGGGCACUGUGUCCACUCUAGGGUGUGGCGGGUGGUGGCCCAGCCUCCUUGGAGGAGCUCGGAGGUCUCCCGGGCGGCGCUGCCCCAGCACGGUCUCCCUUUCUGUCUUCAGCCGUCUCCCUGCGUGGCGGUGCUGCUGAGCUGUGAUUCCGGUGGACUGAAAGAAAGGAUGAAGGGAGCCCGCUGGAGUUCCGAGUUCCCCUCCUGCUCAGCCGGUGGCCUUCCAGCCAGGCCGCGGGGUGUGGCUUCUGCAGAGGGGCGAGCGCAGACUUCACCAGCGCCCUUCUGACCCGUGGCCUCAGCCAGGGAGUGUAUUUGUGCAGAGACUGGAUCUCACUGGUGACUUUUGGUAACUCGAGCAAAAAUGGAAACCUGCGGAUAUUUUUCGAUGGAUUCAGAGAGAAACCAAUUAAGAUAGUGACUCUCCUCUCGUCCCUGAGCAGACUUAGCUACAGACUCAGUCACGUGCAGAGGGGUGGGGGCUGGAGCUGCCUCUGCGCCAGGACCCUGCCGUCUCCUCCGGGCCUCGCCGCGCCUGCGCUCCGAGGGCGGCAGGGGGCAGUGUCCCGACGCGGAUGGCGGUCCGGGCAGCGGCCUCAAUUUGUCAGCUCUCGGAUCAAAGCCGGUGCCGGAGACGUUCUCAUUAUGGGUGUUCCCUGAACAUCCCUUAACUAAAUCAAAUGCUUGCUGUGAUAUGAAAAACAUCGUUUCAUAUCUGAAACAUGGGUUUCCAGUAUAACCUGCAGACGCUACAGAACGAAGCCAUCUCAUUACGGAAUGAGGACCCCUGGAGUCAAAAACAAGGCAGUGGAAUAAGUUCUGAUCAUCAGGGAAGCACAGCGAGGGGAAGCCAAGACACGGGCAGGGACACUUCUGGUUGCGAAAUAAAUUUCUAAAACCCAGAUCAUCUCCUUACACAUAUGCAAAAUCUUAACAUUUGCGGAAAAUAAAU
RNAcentral lists this long non-coding RNA (1174 nucleotides) under Equus caballus (horse). RNAcentral describes it as "lncRNA (ENSECAG00000053147.1)". The record is from RNAcentral. Lineage: Eukaryota; Metazoa; Chordata; Mammalia; Perissodactyla; Equidae.